CAACCCUACCAGCCCCUCCAGUUUAGAUGUGGCAGUGGCUCUUUGCAGCUGCGAUUUCUUUCUCGGAGCGUCCUCCCCAUCCCGUUCGGCCUCUGCCUCCACCAUCGUCUCUGUAACCCGUUCCCUGUGGGAGAGUCCCUGUUGCAGCGUUCAGAGGUUUCGGUUUUCCGGCUGAACUUAACGCGUGGGAAGGCGCUGACGGCAAGGUGGCAGGAAGAAAAUUCCAACACAGACCACAACACCGAUGGACCUGGAAAACACUGUGCUCAGUGAAAGAAGUCAGACACACAAGGACAAUGUUGUAUGAGGGACACAUUCCAGCAAAAAGACACAAAGUGACAGAAUGGCUGCCUUUCAGUAGGGGGUGAGAAGAGGUGGAUGGCAGGUACCAGAAGAGAAGGGAAUAAAUAUAUGAAGAAAAACGACCCCCUCGGGCAGUGCCUGGCACAGCGUAAGUGCCCAGGAAACAGAGGCCCAGCUGUUCACGUUCUGGGCAGCAGGGCUGGGACCAGCGCCGGCUUCCUGGUUAAGGAGGUCACCCUUUCCUCUUGAGGGGUCUGAGUAUGCAUGUCAGUACCUGGUGGGCAUGUAGCACCCAGCUGACCAGGGGCCUUCCCCUCUGUGGGUGUCACCAGCCUGGCCCUGAGAACUGGAUGAAAGCUGGAAUAAUUCUUCCUGUAAUAAAGCAAACGCGACCA
Long non-coding RNA from Mandrillus leucophaeus (drill), 698 nucleotides. RefSeq lists it as uncharacterized. The record is from RefSeq and is a predicted model, not a curated record. Lineage: Eukaryota; Metazoa; Chordata; Mammalia; Primates; Cercopithecidae. The transcript has 3 exons.